GGGGCGGUAGCUCAGUUGGUUAGAGCAGCGGACUCAUAAUCCGUCGGUCGCGGGUUCGAGCCCCGCCCGCCCCA
Molecule: transfer RNA, 74 nt
Filed under: Actinomycetota bacterium
Lineage: Bacteria; Bacillati; Actinomycetota
Description: Actinobacteria bacterium tRNA-Ile
Rfam family: tRNA
About the family: Transfer RNA (tRNA) molecules are approximately 80 nucleotides in length. Their secondary structure includes four short double-helical elements and three loops (D, anti-codon, and T loops).
Source: RNAcentral